UGGGGAAUCUUGCCCAAUGGGCGCAAGCCUGAGGCAGCAACGCCGCGUGCGGGAAGAAGGCUCUCGGGUUGUAAACCGCUUUCAGCAGGAACGAAACUGACGGUAUCUGCAGAAGAAGGUGCGGCCAACUACGUGCCAGCAGCCGCGGUGACACGUAGGCACCAAGCGUUGUCCGGAUUUAUUGGGCGUAAAGAGCUCGUAGGCGGUUCGGUAAGUCGGGCGUGAAAUCCCUGGGCUCAACCCAGGAAGUGCACCCGAUACUGCUGUGACUUGAGUUCGGUGGGGGAGUGCGGAAUUCCUGGUGUAGCGGUGGAAUGCGCAGAUAUCAGGAGGAACACCAAUGGCGAAGGCAGCACUCUGGGCCGAAACUGACGCUGAGGAGCGAAAGCGUGGGGAGCGAACAGGAUUAGAUACCCUGGUAGUCCACGCCGUAAACGUUGGGCACUAGGUGUGGGCUCUAACCAACGGAGUCCGUGCCGCAGCUAACGCU
This 490-nucleotide ribosomal RNA is filed under the name uncultured Actinomycetes bacterium. Its description in RNAcentral is "bacterial SSU rRNA". It matches the Rfam family "Bacterial small subunit ribosomal RNA", at positions 355 to 859 of the family's 1533-position model. Lineage: Bacteria; Bacillati; Actinomycetota; Actinomycetes. The record is from RNAcentral.